AGAGUUUGAUUCUGGCUCAGAACGAACGCUGGCGGCGCGUCUUAAACAUGCAAGUCGAACGAGAACCCUAGUGCUUGCAUUGGGGGGAAAGUGGCGAACGGGUGAGUAACACGUGGAUAAUCUGCCUCUGGGAUGGGGACAACCCCGGGAAACCGGGGCUAAUACCGAAUAAGAUGGUAGUUGCACAAGCAGCAGCCAUUAGAGGUGGGGACCGCAAGGCCUACUACCUGGAGAUGAGUCCGCGGCCCAUUAGCUUGUUGGCGGGGUAAAGGCCCACCAAGGCUAUGAUGGGUAGCCGGCCUGAGAGGGUGAACGGCCACACUGGGACUGAGAUACGGCCCAGACUCCUACGGGAGGCAGCAGUUAAGAAUCUUGCUCAAUGGGCGAAAGCCUGAAGCAGCGACGCCGCGUGGACGAUGAAGGUCUUCGGAUUGUAAAGUCCACUAAGCAGGGAUGAAUAAGCAGCGGGUAAUAUUCGUUGCGAUGACUGUACCUGCCUAAAGCCUCGGCUAACUACGUGCCAGCAGCCGCGGUAAGACGUAUGAGGCAAGCGUUGUUCGGAAUUAUUGGGCGUAAAGGGCGUGUAGGCGGGGAGCUAAGUUAGAUGUGAAAUCCAUGGGCUUAACUCAUGAACUGCAUUUAAUACUGGCUCUCUUGAGUUCGGGAGAGGUAAGCGGAAUUCCCGGUGUAGCGGUGAAAUGCGUAGAUAUCGGGAAGAACACCAGUGGCGAAGGCGGCUUACUGGCCUAGAACUGACGCUAAGGCGCGAAAGCGUGGGGAGCGAACGGGAUUAGAUACCCCGGUAGUCCACGCCGUAAACGGUGUAUACUAGGUGUUAGUGGUUUCACCACUAGUGCCGACGCUAACGCAUUAAGUAUACCGCCUGGGGAGUACGCCCGCAAGGGUGAAACUCAAAGAAAUUGACGGGGGCCCGCACAAGCGGUGGAGCAUGUGGUUUAAUUCGAUGAUACGCGAAAAACCUUACCUGGGCUUGAACUGUGCUUGAUCGGUGUAGAGAUACACCUUCCUUCGGGCAGGUACAGAGGUGCUGCAUGGUUGUCGUCAGCUCGUGUCGUGAGAUGUUGGGUUAAGUCCCGCAACGAGCGCAACCCCCACUCCUUGUUGCUACCAGGUUAUGCUGGGCACUCUAGGGGAACUGCCGGUGAUAAACCGGAGGAAGGUGGGGACGACGUCAAAUCAUCACGGCCCUUAUGUCCAGGGCUACACACGUGCUACAAUGGUCGGUACAAAGAGUUGCAAUGCCGCGAGGUGGAGCUAAUCUCAAAAAACCGAUCUCAGUUCGGAUUGUAGUCUGCAACUCGACUGCAUGAAGCUGGAAUCGCUAGUAAUCGUGGAUCAGCACACCACGGUGAAUACGUUCCCGGGCCUUGUACACACCGCCCGUCACACCACCCGAGUCGGCAGCACCCAAAGUAGCUGGUCUAACCCGCAAGGGAGGAAGGUUACCAAGGUGAAGCUGGUGAGGGGGGUGAAGUCGUAACAAGGUAGCCGUAUCGGUAGGUGCGGCUG
RNAcentral lists this ribosomal RNA (1530 nucleotides) under metagenome. RNAcentral describes it as "bacterial SSU rRNA". It matches the Rfam family "Bacterial small subunit ribosomal RNA". The record is from RNAcentral.